AGCAUGUGGUUUAAUUCGAUGCAACGCGAAGAACCUUACCUGGGCUUGACAUCCCGAGAAUACCCCUGGAAACAGGGAGUGCCUUUCGGGGAACUCGGAGACAGGUGCUGCAUGGGCUGUCGUCAGCUCGUGUCGUGAGAUGUUGGGUUAAGUCCCGCAACGAGCGCAACCCUCGUCCUAUGUUGCCAGCGGGUCAUGCCGGGGACUCAUGGGAGACUGCCGGGGUCAACUCGGAGGAAGGUGGGGAUGACGUCAAAUCAUCAUGCCCCUUAUGUCUUGGGCUUCACGCAUGCUACAAUGGCCGGUACAAAGGGCUGCGAUACCGCGAGGUGGAGCGAAUCCCAGAAAGCCGGUCUCAGUUCGGAUUGGGGUCUGCAACUCGACCUCAUGAAGUCGGAGUCGCUAGUAAUCGCAGAUCAGCAACGCUGCGGUGAAUACGUUCCCGGGCCUU
RNAcentral lists this ribosomal RNA (451 nucleotides) under uncultured Cellulomonas sp. RNAcentral describes it as "bacterial SSU rRNA". It matches the Rfam family "Bacterial small subunit ribosomal RNA", at positions 936 to 1382 of the family's 1533-position model. Lineage: Bacteria; Bacillati; Actinomycetota; Actinomycetes; Micrococcales; Cellulomonadaceae. The record is from RNAcentral.